Armigeres subalbatus is the source of this 6560-nucleotide RNA transcript. It is a transcript of the gene named transcriptional regulator ATRX-like, with no coding region annotated. The record is from RefSeq and is a predicted model, not a curated record. Lineage: Eukaryota; Metazoa; Arthropoda; Insecta; Diptera; Culicidae. The transcript is spliced from 11 exons.
AUUUUUCCAUCCAUCAGCUACACCGCACAGCAUAAUUUUUUCUCGUUCGUUCAUGUCGUUCACUCUCGUAAAAUGUUAUUUGUGAUUUUGGUGUUAAUCUAAUAAUCUUUACGGCAGUUUUGCUAAAAUGGGGUCGAAACAAAAAGUGAAUGCUAAAAAUCGUGGUUCUCGGCGACAACUGCGAUCCACUAGACCGGCUCCGCUACCACCGCCAGCCGAAUGGUCAACCGACGAAAGCGAAAGGGGCGUAACGCCAACACCUUCCAGUGGAAGCUGCAAACGCCGGCGACCGCUUCGUAAACGAAUGCCUGUUUGGGAAAGUAGCGAUGACACCGCUGCGGAAAAUUCCAAAUCUAAAGCGGACGAUGGUGACGAUUCGGAUUCCUCAGCUGGCGAUAAUCCUGUGGCAAGGAUGCUAGAAAUAAGUCGACUGCCGCUCAUGAUCAUGGAAGUUCGCAAAUUGAGUGAAGAAAUUGGGAAGGUGUGUGACGAAUUGGAGAAAACAAUAACCAGCGACUCCCCGGAUCAAGAUAUAAUGCUAGAUAAGCUUAAAAAGAAGCUGCUAGAUUUGACCCAAAAGUGCUACCGUAAAGUUGUUCCAGCUUCUGAAGAAACCGAUCUAUCGACCAAAAAGGCAGACAAAUCUCAAUCGAAACACGCGGAGUUCCGGAGAACAAACUCUACGAAAUUAAUUUCGAAGAAGCGCAUCAAACGCUCCAAUAGUGUUGAUUACACUGAAUACUGUUCCAAACCGGAGCCAGAGAAGAGUCAGGAACUAAUGGAAGCUAUACCAGCUGAUGAAUCCACGACGAAAGACAGUGGAAAUCCGUCGUCUGGACAUGAUGAGUCCGUAGCAACGAUGAAAACCUCAGAAGACGUCAUUCAUUCUUCUGUCGAGCUGCAAAGCCAUUCGGCAAUCCCGUUGCACGACGAAUGUGAACCUUCUCGAGAAGACCAAAAUAAUGACAUGACAGAAACAUGCCACGAUUUGGCUACAGAUGUUGUUAAAGCUCUAGUUACAUGUAAUUAUGAUUCACAGCAAUUCAACAGCCUGACUUUGGAAGCCCCGUUGCCUGACGAAUGUGAACCGAUCCGAGAAGAUCUUAAUAAUGACAAAGCAAAACCGUGCUCCGAUUUGGCUGCAUACGUUGUUGAAGCUCUAGUUACCUGUAAUUAUGAUUCACAACAAUUCAACAGCCUGACUUUGGCAGCCUCGUUGCCCGACGAAUGUGAACCGAUCCGAGAAGACCAAAAUAAUGACAAAACGAAAACGUGCUCCGAUUUGUCAGCAGAUGUUGAAGCUCCAGUUACAAGUUACUAUGACUCACAACAAUUCAAUAACCUGAGUUUGUCCAGAGAGGAUGAUGGCAUUGACCAGAUUAAAAAGGAAAAUAAUAGUAAGUCGGACAAGGAAGAAGUAUCGGUGAUAAACGACGACAUUUUCGGGUUCCACAAUUAUGCUACACCUCAACGGAGAUUAUCAAAUCAUCCUCCCGCUGUUUCAGAAACUGUGAAACAAGAAAUCAAGAAGGAAGCCCUUGAUUACCAAAAGCAGCACAUCGUGUACACACCAACCGGAACCCGUCCAACCCCAAAGGGAAAGUUGAUUAUUGGCGCGAAACCGAACGUCAUCGUUUUUUCAUCGACAACUGAAAAAGACCUCAUUCAGGAAUCAGGAACAACUGACACAAAACCUGAAUAUCUUUACCAAGCGGAGCCCAGUACUUCGAAAAAUUUUAACGUAAAAUUAAUACCCAAAGCAAACGAAAACGACGGUUCCAAGUUUAUCACCGCCGCCGAUCCAAACCCAAAUCGUGAACCAACGAACGACGAAAUACGUUAUAUUGUACCGCACCUGCCAAAGUUCAGCGUGUCGCAGGUACCACAAGGCGAAAAUUACGAAUUAUCGCUGAUGAAACGGGAGAUUGAGCAGCGUCUGCGGGUGAAUGAUUUGUCGUACGUUACCCAACGAGCAAUUCGCGAUGAAACGUCCCGUGUGAAAAAAGUAGACCGCAAUAACCAUCGACUUGAGCAGGAGAUGGCACGCUUUGGUGGCUCAGUGCCUGCUAACCAAUUGAUCUUGGACUAUGAACCAGAAAGAAAGACAUUUAUACGCGUCCAUCCGGAGCUGGUGGCAAAAAUGAAGCCUCACCAGAAGGAAGGUGUUAAGUUUAUGUACGACUGCUGCUAUGGAGGCAGCUUUGAGGGUAGGUCAGCCGGAUCGGGAUGCAUAUUGGCACAUUGCAUGGGACUGGGGAAAACGAUGCAGGUCAUCGCGCUCAUGAACACAGUAAUUUGCUAUCCCCAACUGAACACGAAGCGAAUUAUUGUGGUUUGUCCGAAAUCUACAGUUAUGAAUUGGGCGCAGGAGAUUCGCUUUUGGCUAGGCGACAUCCCCAGCGGAGUGGCCGUGCAGACAUUCUAUAUGCCGGAUAAUUCCAACAUCUAUAAGAAACUAGAAGUUCUUCGAGGAUUUUACAACGUAACCAACAAAAAUGCCCAUUGCCUAGUAAUAGGCUACGAAGCAUUCCGCUCGUUGGUAUUCUACGAUGCUCGCAACAAAAACGGCGAACAGCAUUCCGAACGGAUUCGUACUGAAGUGCGGCGUAUACUUAUAAAUCCGGGUGCGGAUUUGAUUGUGUUGGAUGAAGGUCACAUAAUCAAGAAUCGUAAAUCUCAAACGAAUCUGUCUGUUUCGGAAGUGGCCACCAAACGUCGUAUAAUUUUAACCGGCACUCCAAUUCAAAAUAAUCUUAAUGAGUAUUUCUGUAUGGUAAGCUUUGUCAAGCCGGCAUACCUGGGCAAUGAGAAAGAAUUCAACGAGCAGUACGCCAAACCUAUCAAAGAUGGACAACACAAAGAUUCUAGCGUCAGUGACAUUCGUUACAUGAAAAUGAAAUCGUUCAUACUGCACAAACGGUUGACGAGCUUUGUGCAGCGUAAAGAGUUCACCGUUCUCGAAGAUUUCCUGCCAGAAAAAUAUGAGUACGUAUUGUACGUACCCCUGACUCCGGUGCAGGAAGAUUUAUAUGAGCAGUACCUGAAAAGGAAUCCUUUCCGAAAGGAUGUUGGCGGCAGGAACUUGCUGGAAGAUUAUACGUUCAUGCGUAAAAUUUGGACACAUCCCAUUGUGCUGGAAAAGGCUUUUGAAACGGCUAUGAAGAAAAAAUACGGGAUCAAGGAGAAGCGUAAGGCAGUCCGUCGUGUUCGUGGAUUUGAUAGCAGUUCUGAGGAUGACGAUGAUAACGAAGCUGAUAACGCUCGCUCGAUUACCAACAUUUGGUGGAAGCAAAUCAUCAGUAAAGAUGAUUUGGAGUCCCUAUUUCCUAGCAACAAAAUGUUGCUUUUGUUCGAAAUCCUUCGAAUGUGCCAGGAAAAAGGUGAAAAGUGUUUGAUAUUUUCCGGUUUCGUAAUGGUGCUCAACAUGGUGGAACACUUUAUGAAGAUGAUCGACGAACAGAACAAGAAUCCCAAAGCACACCUCUAUGGGUUCUCUCGGUUCCGUGGUCCAUGGCGUCCAGGGAUGGACUACUACCGCCUUGAUGGUGGUACGUCGAAAUCGAUCAGACACGAAAUGAUCACCAAAUUUAACGAUCCAAAGAAUCGAGUCACUCGAGUGUUUCUAAUUUCCACCAAAGCUGGAGGACAAGGCAUUAAUUUGGUGGGCGCAAACCGUGUGGUUAUUUUAGACACAUCCUGGAAUCCGGCUGUUGAUCAGCAGGGUAUUUUCCGCAUCUAUCGUUUGGGACAGCAGAAGCCUUGCUAUAUUUACCGCUUAUUAGCGAUUCAUACAAUGGAAGAGAAAGUGUACUCCCGGGCGGUUACCAAACAAGCCAUGAGUCACCGGGUUGCGGAUAAAAAGCAGGUGGAUCGGAAUUACAAUAUGGCUGAACUGGAAGAACUUUACCACUUCGAGAGAGUAAACAUGAGUGCACGGCCGAUUCCUCCUCCAGCGGUAGAUGAUUUGUUGUCUACGCUACUGCUUAAUUUCCCCAAGUUUAUUUUCCGAUACCACAUGCACGAGACUAUGCUCGACAACAAAACUGAAAAGGAUUUAACCGAUUUUGAAAAGCAACUCGCAUGGAAUGAGUUCAAGAAGAAAGGAUUGGAGUUGAACUUGGAUUUCGGUAUGGGUGAGAUUGGUAAAACAGAUUCCCAACUGUCCGAAAUAGACGUAGAUUUGGAUUUGCGGGAUUUGUUCGAAAAAUCGUGUGAACCUAAAAUUGAAUCAUCGAUCUCGGAGGCAGUGGAUAACAAACCUUUGAUCAUACCGGCCCGACAAUUGACCAACGAGAAUUCUAAACAUGUGGACCCAAAAACAACGAAUACCGAUGUCGCCAUCUUUGGCGAGGACCCAUACAAUGAGAUUAGUUUGGGAUGUAGUAUUAUCGAGGAACAGCGUAAAAAAUUGGGCAUCAAAUCUGAGCAAAGAAAGUCAAUGCUCUCACAGGUUACCGUUUCCAAUGCGGAGGUAGAGUUGCUGCGAACUCUUGAGGACCAAAAAAGUACUCCUCUCACAUCAGUUGAAAUCAUACCAAAACCGCAUGGUUGUGACAUAGAUACAGAAGAUAUUCUGAAUUUGUCGUAUGAGAGCGGUACAUCAGUUCCAAGCUCGUUACCUACAAUGACCGAACCUUCGUCAGUGUUUAUCGGAGCCUCAUUAUCAUCGAUGAUCGAGUACGAUCCGAUAACAAGCAGCCAAGACCAUUUCGUAACUGAAAGUUGCACAAACUCUUACCGUGAAAGCAUGGGAUCGACUAACGCCAGUGUGGGUGAAACUUCAACCUACGAGAAAUUCGAAGCCUGUUUGAAAGCAGAUCCCAAAGUAGUAACAAGUACUGUUGCUCCCCCACCAUCCUUGGUGUUGGUAGCAACUGCCACAGGCGAUUUUCAAGUCGAAGUUCAAAUGCACGGCGAAACCUCCAAGGCAUCAAUUUCUAUGGAACCGUUGCUUACCCGCAGCAUGAAGCGAAAGAUGAUGGCUAUGAGCAGUUCUGCCGCAAAGCCAAAGAAAGCUAAGAUGUGCUACACAAGUGAAGCAACCGUUCAAUUUGAAAGCCCCGAAAAUGAUAAUCUCGAUCGUUUAAAUCAAUGUCGGGCUGUAGUACCGUUCGUCGAUCAAACUGCUAAAAGUCGCGUUAUCUUUAAUUGCCAUUUACGACAAUAUCUUGAACAAUCAGUUCAAGUUGUAACAACAAAUAAUAGUUGUUAUUCCCUUGUACCUUAUGUUAAACGAGUUUCCCUACUGGAUGACAUUCUUCGCCGCUAUGGAUAUCAUCCGGAGUUGAUCGGCUCAUUUCCACUUCGAACUGUUCAAAUUGAUAAUGAUGCUGAAAUCGACAAAAGCUCUGCUCAAGCUUUACGCCAGACAACAACCCUCUCGUGGAACGGAGAGGACGCCAACUCUGCGGAUUUUGAAUGUUUUUACGACGAGAAUAGCGGAGAAUACUACACGGCGGAAUCAAAUUUAUAUGCCGCCCACGAUGAAAGCGAUCAGCUAACCCUCACCCAGUCUACUCCUCCGGAUUCCCAGCAAAUGUAUACUCAGCAAGCGAUCCAGCAGAGCAGUGAUCAAGAAUUGAUGAAUGAUCUGGAAGAACUGCGAGCAGUUUUUUCAGAUGACAUGGACAUGAAUACAAGUUCAUCGUAUUGCUCGGCAGUCGUGCCGUACAAUCCUCCGGUUUCCAUUUGGGAUCAGCAAAAAUACGACUAUUUGGCAACUCCAUUGGCAAUAUAUCGCCCCAUUCGAUCAUUCUGGGACCAGAAAGAUUUUUACGCACGAAUUUUCCAAGCCGAACGAAAACGCCAAAUUAUCCGAAAUCAGCACAAUAAGUGCUUUCGAUACAUUCCGUACAACAAAGAAGACAGGAAAUGGAGAAGUCAUAUUCCGUCCACUCACGAGGGUAGGAAAGCAGCCGACAAAGAUUUAUCGAUUAUGGAUUCCACUGAGCAAUCAAACGACGUGGACAUUGGCGUUAGUAUGGCACUGCUGCCCUACACAGGGAAUUGCAUUCUUAAUGCAAUCCGAAAACAAAUUUCUCUGCUUGAACCGAAAAUCGUCGUACUGAGUUCGGAGCUGGUUGAGUAUUUGACAUUCUGUCGAAAUGUAACAUGUCAGUCCACAUCACAAGGCAUGGUUAGUUUCAAAUCGCACCGUGGCGUCAAACGUAAACUUGAGGAAUACUUGUCCCAAACGGUAGGGAAACCGAAAAAAUACAAGGAGUAGAAAAACGGAUAUAAUUGUUAAGGAUGUUUUUUUUCGGAUAUUAUUCAUUGGAUACGUACUUAGACUACAAUAAAUAGCACUAUGAGCUCAGAUGGAUACUUGUUAGCAAGGUGCACUUCUGAUUCAACAACUGGAUUACUAAUCGUUCACAUUAUUUCAUUCAAUAAUUAAGGCUUUUUUCAUUAUCACUCAGUGCAUGGUGCAUUGAUUUCAAAUACUUUAUUACAUGUUCUUGUUUGAAACUGUUUUUUUCGUGUUACAUACAAUCUACAAACAUUAUCGUGUUUGUAAUGUUUUAAUAUGUUGACCUCAUAAUAAAUACAUUUUGAAAACA